CUGUGAGGUGCUUUUUGCAUUCCGCUGUAGGACAUUAGUUCCAGUAGAGGGCAGCAUUUCUCCGUAAUUCACCUGCUGUGCUUUUAACAAAGACGCCAAGUCUCUCUUCGCCUUCGGCUUUGUUGUUUCAUUCGACAUAGCUUUAAGUUCUUUGUAUUAAGUUAUACUUGUAUUUAGCUCAAGUUUUACCUACUAUCACGUGAAGCACGUUUAGGCUAUGGAAAAUAAUUUAGCACAAGAUGUAAACUGAGCUAAUGUUAUUGCUCACAACUCAUAUGUCGCUCUGAUCAAAAAUAAAAACAUCCAGCCUGAGGUUAACAGGAGAAGUCGACCUUUUGGCUUUUUGAAAAUAUAUAUUUCUUUUAAGCAGCAGGCAUGUGCAAUUGACAGCACACUGCAUAAUUAAAACGACUGUGAAAAGUCCUGAAAUUGCCCUGAGAGUUAAUGAAGUCGCACAGUGUGAUGAGGGAAGAUUGUGGUGGAAAGGGGUCAGCAGGCCUCUUCAGGCCUCUCGUCCAUGGAAAAUGGCUGCUGUCAGCCGUCGAACAUUAUGGGAAUCUGAAUGCCCACACAGUACACUCGAGCCGAGAUUAAUGACUUCAAAUAGUGGCGUUUGGCAGAAGAGUUUCGUUUGCACUCUCAAAGGGACAAAAAACGUUGAGGAGGAUGAAAACUUUGGAUGUCUGGUGUCAGGAAACAGACACAUCACAUCAACCCAUGUUUGUCCUUCCGUCUCCUUCACUCCCCCGCUUUUUUGGCACAGCGACCCGCGGUGCUUACUGUAAGCCUGCAGGGGCCAUUCCGGCCCGCUGGCCUUUUCCUCCACACCUGUUUCAGAGGAGACAUGUUGUGUUAGAGCUUCAAGUCCCUUCCACUAAUGAGCAAAGCGUCCCACUGAAAGGAACAUUGAGCGUCUGCCCCCCUCCCACUCGGGAUGAAAGUGCGAGAGAGACAUGACCAAAGUCGUCUCCGCUUUGACAAACAUGAAAAGCUUCCCCGGCGUGUAACUUGAGGAAUUGGACACUCAGAGAAGAGGGAAGGGCUUUCAGUCGGACUAGGCUUGCAACCGACCUCUCCAACCCCCCUUGCAAGUUUCCACUUAUGAGAAAGAGGACAAAUGAAGAAGAAAGAGGGAAGCAAGAGAAAGGGGCCCUCAGCGUGCGAACAGCACCUCUCGGGUUGCUCGAGAUUGUUCAAAGUGACUGCGCUUCACAGAGCCCCUUCAAGAGAACAUCUCCGGCUCUUCACAGCCAUCGCAUCUGACAAGCAGCGGGCUCCUGUUAAAAGCACUGUCGAAUUAGAUCUACAAAACAAACCCAUGCUACACUAGAGGUGGACUUGGUUCGAGAGCACGCGUGUGCCUCAACGGCGCAUAGUUUGAACGAUUGAAAGUGUAAAAGUGCGACGACACUGGUCCCCGAGCACGCGUGGGGUGUGUUUAAUUUGACUGAUAUAGGGCGCCGCAGACGGAAGUAUGUCUAAUGAAGGGGAGAGAUGUACUCUUGUGUGACAGCCCUCCAGAAGCAAGGGCUCACAAAAAGCUCUACAGAGGCACAGAAACAAAGCAGCGAGCUUUUGAUUCUGCUGUACAGCUGACACUUCAGCUUCUCUUGUUCUCCUAGCCAAAAGUCCCUUUGUUAAACAUUCGGUGUUAUAGGAUUUUGAAAAGGUAAGAAAUAUAGAGUGGCCCUGAAAACUAUACUUUACUGACAUUUUCAAAUGUAUAUGCAUAUUGUCAUGUGUAACAAUAUGCAGAGGUAAUUAUUUGAAAGAAAUAUAGAGCACUGAAUUGUGAAACUUUGUAGAUACACAGCCCAAAAUUCCGGCAAAUGUAUUUGAAUCCUUGAUUUUAGCUAAUUGUUUUCUAUAUUCACAGGUCACAUAUCAAAUGUAUAAUGUAUAUAAACUUACUAACCACUUUAUUAGAUGCACCUUACUAGUACCGUUUUGGAUCCUCUUUUGCCUUCAGAACUGCCUUAAUCCUUUGUGGCAUAGAUUUAACAAGGUACUUGAAAUAUUCCUCAGAGAUUUCGGUCCAUAUUGACAAGAUAGCAUUACAUA
Danio rerio (zebrafish) is the source of this 2061-nucleotide long non-coding RNA. The record is from Ensembl. Lineage: Eukaryota; Metazoa; Chordata; Actinopteri; Cypriniformes; Danionidae.